GUCCCUAUCGUCUAGCGGCUCAGGACGCCGUUUCCCCCUCCCCGAUGCGCAGGCGGAGGAUGGGAGUCUCAUAACGGAAACUGGGGUUCGAAUCCCUAUAGGGACGCCA
RNAcentral lists this transfer RNA (109 nucleotides) under Deltaproteobacteria bacterium. RNAcentral's name for it is "tRNA-OTHER". RNAcentral also lists the same sequence under 3 other names. The record is from RNAcentral. Lineage: Bacteria; Pseudomonadati; Myxococcota; Myxococcia.